This 468-nucleotide ribosomal RNA is filed under the name uncultured bacterium. RNAcentral's name for it is "partial 16S ribosomal RNA". It matches the Rfam family "Bacterial small subunit ribosomal RNA", at positions 28 to 507 of the family's 1533-position model. The record is from RNAcentral.
GACGGACGCUGGCGGCGUGCUUAACACAUGCAAGUCGAACGGAAAGGCCCUGCUUUUGUGGGGUGCUCGAGUGGCGAACGGGUGAGUAACACGUGAGUAACCUGCCCUUGACUUUGGGAUAACUUCAGGAAACUGGGGCUAAUACCGGAUAGGAGCUCCUGCUGCAUGGUGGGGGUUGGAAAGUUUCGGCGGUUGGGGAUGGACUCGCGGCUUAUCAGCUUGUUGGUGGGGUAGUGGCUUACCAAGGCUUUGACGGGUAGCCGGCCUGAGAGGGUGACCGGCCACAUUGGGACUGAGAUACGGCCCAGAAUCCUACGGGAGGCAGCAGUGGGGAAUAUUGCACAAUGGGCGGAAGCCUGAUGCAGCAACGCCGCGUGCGGGAUGACGGCCUUCGGGUUGUAAACCGCUUUCGCCUGUGACGAAGCGUGAGUGACGGUAAUGGGUAAAGAAGCACCGGCUAACUACGUG